This 87-nucleotide microRNA precursor is filed under the name Chlorocebus sabaeus (green monkey). RNAcentral's name for it is "mir-3174 microRNA precursor family". It matches the Rfam family "mir-3174 microRNA precursor family". The record is from Rfam by way of RNAcentral. Lineage: Eukaryota; Metazoa; Chordata; Mammalia; Primates; Cercopithecidae.
AUUACCUGGUAGUGAGUUAGAAAUGCAGAGUCUCGGGCUUCUCAGCAAACCUACUGGAUCUGCAUUUUAAUUCACAUGCAUGGUAAU